Molecule: ribosomal RNA, 485 nt
Filed under: Heterocapsa rotundata
Lineage: Eukaryota; Dinophyceae; Peridiniales; Heterocapsaceae
Description: partial Eukaryotic large subunit ribosomal RNA
Rfam family: Eukaryotic large subunit ribosomal RNA
Source: RNAcentral
GGCUUUGCUUUGGUGAAAGCCGAGCGAGAAUCGAACAUCCAUGAGUGGGCGAUUUUUGGUAAGCAGAACUCGCGAUGGGGAAUCAACCAAAAGGCAUGCUUAAGGCGCCGAAAUCUCGGUUAAUGUAGAGAAAAAAGCGUGCGCAUUUGAAGACAGUCAUGACGUGGCCAUGGAAGUUGGAAUCGUCUAAGGAGUGUGUAACAACUCAAUGACCGAAAAUGGGUGCCUUGAAAAUGGAUGGCGCUGAAACCGAGUGCCUAGAGCAGCCGGAUGGACCAGGGGUAGAGGGCCAUCCUGUAGGCUAGCGUGCAGAGUGGGGCGAAGGUGUGCAGCAGUGAUGCUGACUGGACCGCUCUGUAGUGCAGAUCUUGGGGCUAGUAGCAAGUAGAGAAGGGAGGAACUUCUCAACCGAGAGACCAAAGGUUCCUCAGGAAUCGUAAUGAAAUGAGGGUGAGGCGGUCCUAAGGGAGAUCUGAAAAGAGUUU